CACGGAGGGUGCGAGCGUUAAUCGGAAUUACUGGGCGUAAAGCGCGCGUAGGCGGUUUGAUAAGUCAGAUGUGAAAUCCCCGGGCUUAACCUGGGAAUGGCAUUUGAUACUGUCUGACUCGAGUGUGGUAGAGGGAAGUGGAAUUCCGCAUGUAGCGGUGAAAUGCGUAGAUAUGCGGAGGAACACCAGUGGCGAAAGCGGCUUCCUGGACCAACACUGACGCUGAGGUGCGAAAGCGUGGGGAGCAAACAGG
RNAcentral lists this ribosomal RNA (253 nucleotides) under uncultured bacterium. RNAcentral describes it as "partial 16S ribosomal RNA". It matches the Rfam family "Bacterial small subunit ribosomal RNA", at positions 524 to 776 of the family's 1533-position model. The record is from RNAcentral.